AAUUUUAAUUUUGAUAAAUUAAUUUUGUGAGAAGCUAAUGUAGUUGGUUCUUUUUAAGGCUAAAAGCCUAUUGGAGAAUUAGGCUAACACAGGGUGAAGGUGAAGAUCAUUACAGGUUUCAGUGCUGGCUGAGAUGGGUGGCUGAGGUUGUGUUACUGUGUCUAGAGGGGCGGGGUUCCUGUACAUUCCGACUUCAGCAGAUAACCUGGCCCCAGCCAUGCUCCAGCUUCUCCAGACAGAUGGAAAUCUCCAGAGGAAAAUCUGCACAGCCCUUCUAAGAAGCAGGGUUCUGCUCGAUGUUGUCGGAAGGCUGCUGAGGACUUGAGAACUGUGAACACUCUCACCAGGAGAUCGAGGUUUACUCCUCCUUGGGACAAGGAAGGCUGGCAUGACCAUCCACUUCACAUUCGCCAGUGUGCUGACACCAAGCAGAAAAUUCCAUGUAGAGAGCAGACUCCAUGUAGUCACACGUCCCUGGAGAAAAUUGCUUCAUCAUUCUUCAGAAAGAAAAAAAAAAAGUUGAUUUCCUUCAGAAUCCUCUCAUCUUAGAAUGACUAGGUAGAAUUUUAUGCUUAUUUAGAUCUCUUCCAUGCCUAAAUUCUUGGGCAUCUUCCCAUUUUCUAGUUCCAUAAAUAAAAGUAAAAUGUUACUAAAUGAAUACAAUUAUUUUGGUCUCAGUGAAUCAGUUGAGGCUUGGCUGAACCAGCCCAAGUUUGGGGAGCUGCAUGGGACUCUAAUUUACCAUGUCAUUGCAUUUCCUACUUCCUGAUGAUGUGGGUUUUAUGUGUGGGUCAAAACUUCUCUCCAGUUUUGUCUAAUUGGAAAACAGAAUAAAGAUGAUGUUUCAAUGGGCUUUGAUCUUCUAG
This 866-nucleotide long non-coding RNA is filed under the name Mus caroli (Ryukyu mouse). RNAcentral's name for it is "lncRNA (MGP_CAROLIEiJ_G0004864.1)". Lineage: Eukaryota; Metazoa; Chordata; Mammalia; Rodentia; Muridae. The record is from RNAcentral.